This 76-nucleotide transfer RNA is filed under the name Salmonella phage FSL SP-107. RNAcentral's name for it is "tRNA-Lys". The record is from RNAcentral. Lineage: Duplodnaviria; Heunggongvirae; Uroviricota; Caudoviricetes; Andersonviridae.
UGUAGAGAUACGGUGAGGGUUCGACUCCUUUACUUACCGCCUAAUAAGAUUUAAAGCCAAGCUUCAUUCGGAUGUC